AAUGAACGUUGGCGGCGUGGAUUAGGCAUGCAAGUCGAGCGAGAAGCCUUCUUCGGAAGGUGGACAGCGGCAAACGGGGUAGUAAGGCAUCGGUUACGUACCCCCAGGACCGGGAUAGCCGCGGGAAACUGCGGGUAAUACCGGAUAAUAUCUCCGGAUCAAAUGGUGAGAUUCCGCCUGGGGACCGGCUGAUGUGAUACCAGCUAGUUGGUGAGGUAACGGCUCACCAAGGCUUAGACGUCUAGGGGGUGUGAGAGCAUGGCCCCCACCACUGGGACUGAGACACUGCCCAGACACCUACGGGUGGCUGCAGUCGAGAAUCUUCGGCAAUGGGCGAAAGCCUGACCGAGCGACGCCGCGUGCGGGAUGAAGGCCCUUGGGUUGUAAACCGCUGUCAGAGGGGAUGAAAUUUCGUAGGGCUAUCCCUACGAUUUGACAAAGCCUCAGAGGAAGCCCGGGCUAAGUACGUGCCAGCAGCCGCAGUAAAAC
Molecule: ribosomal RNA, 489 nt
Filed under: uncultured bacterium
Lineage: Bacteria
Description: bacterial SSU rRNA
Rfam family: Bacterial small subunit ribosomal RNA
Source: RNAcentral